AGAGUUUGAUCAUGGCUCAGAUUGAACGCUGGCGGCAUGCCUAACACAUGCAAGUCGAACGGUAACGCGGAGAGCUUGCUCUCUGGCGACGAGUGGCGGACGGGUGAGUAAUACUUAGGAAUCUGCCCAAUAGUGGGGGACAACAUUCGGAAACGGAUGCUAAUACCGCAUACGCACUACGGUGGAAAGUGGGGGACCUUCGGGCCUCACGCUAUUGGAUGAGCCUAAGUCGGAUUAGCUUGUUGGUGAGGUAAAAGCUCACCAAGGCGACGAUCCGUAGCUGGUCUGAGAGGACGAUCAGCCACACUGGGACUGAGACACGGCCCAGACUCCUACGGGAGGCAGCAGUGGGGAAUAUUGGACAAUGGGCGCAAGCCUGAUCCAGCAAUGCCGCGUGUGUGAAGAAGGCCUGCGGGUUGUAAAGCACUUUCAGUAGAGAAGAAAAGCCUAGGGUUAAUAGCCCUGAGUCUUGACGUAACCUACAGAAGAAGCACCGGCUAACUCCGUGCCAGCAGCCGCGGUAAUACGGAGGGUGCGAGCGUUAAUCGGAAUUACUGGGCGUAAAGCGCGCGUAGGCGGUUUUGUAAGUCGGAUGUGAAAGCCCUGGGCUUAACCUGGGAAUUGCAUUCGAUACUGCUUAACUAGAGUACGGUAGAGGGAAGUGGAAUUUCCGGUGUAGCGGUGAAAUGCGUAGAUAUCGGAAGGAACACCAGUGGCGAAGGC
This 723-nucleotide ribosomal RNA is filed under the name uncultured bacterium. RNAcentral's name for it is "bacterial SSU rRNA". It matches the Rfam family "Bacterial small subunit ribosomal RNA", at positions 8 to 722 of the family's 1533-position model. The record is from RNAcentral.